GAGAUUCCAGGCUGUGGGGCUAGGGCUGUAAGGGAAAACGCUUGGGCUGAGUGAGCUGAGCAUAAAGAGUGUUCUCCCCACCACCAUCUGUGGGGAGGAUUGAUUCCUAGCCAAUCCUCCCCAGAUUUUUCUUAGAUUUUUUGGUUUUAGCUUGGGAAAUUCUCAGGGGAUUUGUGCUCAGGUGAUGGAGUGCGUGGCUGGCAGGUCGCUGGGACGUGGAUGAGUUUGCCCAUACAAUUCCUGGUGCCAUGCAUGAAAUCCUGGGAUUUUUAGAGUUUUCUUUCUUUUAGAUAGAAAAGAGGUUUUCUUUUCUUGGUGGUUGGUUCAGUUCAAGAAAUGGUGAUUGUGGGCUUGUAGAUCUUGUCGAGAUAUCUGUUCUAGAUCAAUAAUUUCUCAAUUUGGUGCAAGAACUAGCACAUGCAGCCUUUAGCUCAUACAACAGCAACUUUGGAAGCAUGGCAUGAGUUGGAUUCAUCACUAUUUUGAUCUUUCUUGAGCUUAUCUAGUAGAUUUAUUCAGGGUCUUUCUCUGGAGGGUUUACAUGCAUAAGUCUGGAGCACUUUUUGAGUGAUUCUUUUCUUGCACUUUUUUAUUUCAAGCAUGGGAUUGUGACAUAGAUGGUCACUUGUGUAGUAAAUUCACUACUAAAGUAGGAUGGUUUCCCCAAUGGGAUAUUAUUC
Molecule: long non-coding RNA, 680 nt
Filed under: Selaginella moellendorffii
Lineage: Eukaryota; Viridiplantae; Streptophyta; Lycopodiopsida; Selaginellales; Selaginellaceae
Description: long non-coding RNA (SMOE_LNC000336)
Source: RNAcentral